GACGAACGCUGGCGGCAGGCUUAACACAUGCAAGUCGAACGCUCUCUUCGGAGGGAGUGGCAGACGGGUGAGUAACGCGUGGGAAUCUACCCAGUACUACGGAACAACAGUUAGAAAUGACUGCUAAUACCGUAUACGCCCUUCGGGGGAAAGAUUUAUCGGUAUUGGAUGAGCCCGCGUUUGAUUAGCUAGUUGGUGAGGUAACGGCUCACCAAGGCGACGAUCAAUAGCUGGUCUGAGAGGACGAUCAGCCACACUGGGACUGAGACACGGCCCAG
Molecule: ribosomal RNA, 278 nt
Filed under: uncultured bacterium
Lineage: Bacteria
Description: partial 16S ribosomal RNA
Rfam family: Bacterial small subunit ribosomal RNA
Source: RNAcentral